UACGUAGGGUGCAAGCGUUAAUCGGAAUUACUGGGCGUAAAGCGUGCGCAGGCGGUUAUGUAAGACAGAUGUGAAAUCCCCGGGCUCAACCUGGGAACUGCGUUUGUGACUGUAUGACUAGAGUACGGUAGAGAGGGUGGAAUUCCUGGUGUAGCAGUGAAAUGCGUAGAUAUCAGGAAGAACACCCGUGGCGAAGGCGGCUCUCUGGGACGGUACUGACGCUGAGACGCGAAAGCGUGGGGAGCGAACAGG
This 252-nucleotide ribosomal RNA is filed under the name uncultured bacterium. Its description in RNAcentral is "partial 16S ribosomal RNA". It matches the Rfam family "Bacterial small subunit ribosomal RNA", at positions 524 to 776 of the family's 1533-position model. The record is from RNAcentral.